RNAcentral lists this ribosomal RNA (468 nucleotides) under uncultured bacterium. RNAcentral describes it as "partial 16S ribosomal RNA". It matches the Rfam family "Bacterial small subunit ribosomal RNA", at positions 28 to 507 of the family's 1533-position model. The record is from RNAcentral.
GACGAACGCUGGCGGCGUGCUUAACACAUGCAAGUCGAACGGUGAAGCUCCAGCUUGCUGGAGUGGAUCAGUGGCGAACGGGUGAGUAACACGUGAGCAACCUGCCCCAGACUCUGGAAUAAGCGCUGGAAACGGCGUCUAAUACUGGAUACGAGAUCAAGCCGCAUGGUUAUGGUCUGGAAAGUUUUUCGGUCUGGGAUGGGCUCGCGGCCUAUCAGCUUGUUGGUGAGGUAAUGGCUCACCAAGGCGACGACGGGUAGCCGGCCUGAGAGGGCGACCGGCCACACUGGGACUGAGACACGGCCCAGACUCCUACGGGAGGCAGAAGUGGGGAAUAUUGCACAAUGGGCGAAAGCCUGAUGCAGCGACGCCGCGUGAGGGAUGACGGCCUUCGGGUUGUAAACCUCUUUCAGCAGGGAAGAAGCGAAAGUGACGGUACCUGCAGAAGAAGCACCGGCUAACUACGUG